AUGUUAAGAGGGAAUUCGAGUUCGACCAUCACCUCCUGGCCUCCAACUGAAUCAUUGUCUGCUUCGAUGGCUGUAAUUUCCACCGUUUUGUUUUCAGAGAGGGAACAGAAUUCUAUCAAAGACUUCUCUACCAAUAAUUGCAGCAAAAUUCUCUCUUUGUGUGUUUCUUACUUCACACCUGUGUAUGUGAUGAAGUUGAAAGAUUUCUUUCCAAAUAAAGAGCUCAGAGAGGCUCCAUAUUUUGAUGGGCGAGUUGUAUGCUAUCCAAAUAUGAAGACGAUUCAUGAUUAUUUGGCAUGGAGGCAACUGGACCGUAAGCUUCUUGAACUACAGUCAACAGUUUCCUAG
This 348-nucleotide ribosomal RNA is filed under the name Triticum aestivum (bread wheat). RNAcentral describes it as "partial small subunit ribosomal RNA". The record is from RNAcentral. Lineage: Eukaryota; Viridiplantae; Streptophyta; Magnoliopsida; Poales; Poaceae.